Long non-coding RNA from Cheilinus undulatus (humphead wrasse), 266 nucleotides. RefSeq lists it as uncharacterized. Lineage: Eukaryota; Metazoa; Chordata; Actinopteri; Labriformes; Labridae. The transcript is spliced from 3 exons. The record is from RefSeq and is a predicted model, not a curated record.
CGGGGCUUUGUGUGGGAUGAUUCUGCGUAGGAUGGAGGUCACCAGCUGUUUGUCAAUGGUGUCUCAGGAUGUCCAGAAUAGAGUCCAGCUCCACACGGAAAGCAUCUAUCUCUCUGCACUUCUCUUGAGCCAGAUGUUUCCAACGCUCCACCUCUGAGUGCUGACUGGUGUUUAAUGUCUGCCAUGACUCCUUCUCUCUGUGUUGGUGUCUGAGCUCCAUGUUGAAGAUUUUCUUCUCCAGACUGCAGAGCAGCUUCACUUCUGGA